GCAAUUCGCACGGGGGCUCUGGCCUCGUGGGCGGACGGGGUGAGUCACGCGUAGGAACGUGUCCCGGGAACGGGGGAUCACGCUUGGGAAACUCGGCGCUCACCCGCAUGUCUCGCUGAGGCAGAGAGCCUUUCGGGUGUCUUCGGGAGCGGCCUCGCGUCCGAUUAGCUAGUUGGUGGGGUAAGAGCCUACCAAGGCGACGAUCGGUAGCUCGGUCUGAGAGGACGAUCAGCCACACUGGGACUGAGACACGGCCCAGACUCCUACGGGAGGCAGCAGUGGGGAAUAUUGGACAAUGGGCGGAAGCCUGAUCCAGCAAUUCCGCGUGGGUGAAGAAGGUCUUCGGAUUGUAAAGCCCUUUCGGCGGGGACGAUGAUGACGGUACCCGCAGAAAGAAGCCCCGGCUAACUUUCGUGCCAGCAGCCGCGGUAAUACGAAGGGGGCUAGCGUUUGCUCGGAAUUUACUGGGCGUAAAGGGCGCGUAGGCGGCGGUGUUAGUCAGGCGUGAAAUUUCCUGGGCUUAACCUGGGGACUGCGCUUGAUACGGCAUUGCUUGAGGGUGGAAGAAGGCUCGCGGAAUUCCCAGUGUAGAGGUGAAAUUCGUAGAUAUUGGGAAGAACACCGGUGGCGAAGGCGGCGAGCUGGUCCAUUACUGACGCUGAGGCGCGACAGCGUGGGGAGCGAACAGGAUUAGAUACCCUGGUAGUCCACGCCGUAAACGAUGUGCGCUGGAUGUUGGGUGGCCUAGCCACUCA
RNAcentral lists this ribosomal RNA (755 nucleotides) under uncultured bacterium. Its description in RNAcentral is "bacterial SSU rRNA". It matches the Rfam family "Bacterial small subunit ribosomal RNA", at positions 57 to 842 of the family's 1533-position model. The record is from RNAcentral.